This is a long non-coding RNA of Hordeum vulgare subsp. vulgare (domesticated barley), 477 nucleotides long. RefSeq lists it as uncharacterized. The transcript is spliced from 2 exons. The record is from RefSeq and is a predicted model, not a curated record. NCBI's taxonomy places the organism in Eukaryota, Viridiplantae, Streptophyta, Magnoliopsida, Poales, Poaceae.
AAAAAUAGCCAGAGCAAAAUAAUAGCCAGCUACUAGUGAUGGGGCUGAUGAAGAACACAAGGGCAUUUUGCUUGCUAGCUCUUAUUGUCAUGUCCACCACUUCCUUGUCCUGCCAUGCAGCAGGUACAAUGGACCUUGGACCUAUUCUUGGGUGUGUAAAGAUGAAAAAAGCCUGCUCAGUUAAUGGGUGCUUGCGGCAAUGUGCCUCUCAUGGUUGGGAUACCCACAGAUGCAUUUGCACCGAUGCUGACCAUUGUUGUCACUACGUGGAGGCAAUGGCACCAAAUUGAUAGUAUCUUGCUGGAGGCCAUGCCGAUGGGAUCGCGGUGGCGCUUGCUGGAGCCCAUGCCCAUGCAGAUGGGAUCGCGUGGUCGCUAAGGCCAAGUCGAUGUUUCUUUUUUUUUUUUUUGAAUAAAAGGGGUUUCCCCCCUGCUCCAUUUUAUUGAAGCAACGAACCCAACAGGUUUUACAGCGGAA